RNAcentral lists this ribosomal RNA (791 nucleotides) under Mycobacterium dioxanotrophicus. RNAcentral describes it as "bacterial SSU rRNA". It matches the Rfam family "Bacterial small subunit ribosomal RNA", at positions 59 to 866 of the family's 1533-position model. Lineage: Bacteria; Bacillati; Actinomycetota; Actinomycetes; Mycobacteriales; Mycobacteriaceae. The record is from RNAcentral.
CAGUCGAACGGAAGGCCCUUCGGGGUGCUCGAGUGGCGAACGGGUGAGUAACACGUGGGUGAUCUGCCCUGCACUUUGGGAUAAGCCUGGGAAACUGGGUCUAAUACCGGAUAGGACCAUGCUCUUCAUGGGGUGUGGUGGAAAGCUUUUGCGGUGUGGGAUGGGCCCGCGGCCUAUCAGCUUGUUGGUGGGGUAAUGGCCUACCAAGGCGACGACGGGUAGCCGGCCUGAGAGGGUGACCGGCCACACUGGGACUGAGAUACGGCCCAGACUCCUACGGGAGGCAGCAGUGGGGAAUAUUGCACAAUGGGCGCAAGCCUGAUGCAGCGACGCCGCGUGGGGGAUGACGGCCUUCGGGUUGUAAACCUCUUUCAGCACAGACGAAGCGUAAGUGACGGUAUGUGCAGAAGAAGCACCGGCCAACUACGUGCCAGCAGCCGCGGUAAUACGUAGGGUGCGAGCGUUGUCCGGAAUUACUGGGCGUAAAGAGCUCGUAGGUGGUUUGUCGCGUUGUUCGUGAAAACUCACAGCUUAACUGUGGGCGUGCGGGCGAUACGGGCAGACUGGAGUACUGCAGGGGAGACUGGAAUUCCUGGUGUAGCGGUGGAAUGCGCAGAUAUCAGGAGGAACACCGGUGGCGAAGGCGGGUCUCUGGGCAGUAACUGACGCUGAGGAGCGAAAGCGUGGGGAGCGAACAGGAUUAGAUACCCUGGUAGUCCACGCCGUAAACGGUGGGUACUAGGUGUGGGUUUCCUUCCUUGGGAUCCGUGCCGUAGCUAACGCAUUAAGUA